AUACGUAGGUGACAAGCGUUAUCCGGAUUUACUGGGCGUAAAGGGCGCGUAGGCGGUCCUGUAAGUCAGAAGUGAAAUUCCUGGGCUCAACCCGGGCGCUGCAUCUGAAACUGACGGGCUUGAGUAUGGGAGAGGGUGGCGGAAUUUCCUGUGGAGCGGUAAAAUGCGCAGAUAUAGGGAAGAACACCGGUGGCGAAGGCGGCUAUCUGGACAGUAACGGGCGCUGAGGCGCGAAAGCGUGGGGAGCAAACAGGAUUAGAUACCCUAGUAGUCCACGCUGUAAACGAUGAGAGCUAAAUAUUGCCGCGAGGCAGUGUUGAAGCUAACGCAUUAAGUUCUCCGCCUGGGGAGUACGGUCGCAAGACUGAAACUUAAAGGAAUUGACGGGG
Molecule: ribosomal RNA, 389 nt
Filed under: uncultured bacterium
Lineage: Bacteria
Description: partial 16S ribosomal RNA
Rfam family: Bacterial small subunit ribosomal RNA
Source: RNAcentral